CACGCAUAGAUACAUAUAUAUAUAUAUAUAUAUAUAUAUAUAUAUAUAUAUAUAUAUAUAUAAGUACCUACUAUUUUUUUUUAGUAAUAUAUGUGUUGUCUAUUUUAUAAAUAAUAUAUGCGCAUAUGUAUAUACAUAUGCAUGUUUUAUUAAUUUAUUUUGUUUUAUUGUUUGUUUAUUCAUUUUUUUUUUAUUCAUAUUUUUAUUCAUAUUUUUAUUCAUAUUUUUAUUCAUUUUUUUUUUAUUUAUUGUUUUAUUUAUUGUUUUAUUCAUUUUUUUAUUCAUUUUUUUAUUCAUUUUUUUAUUCAUUUCAUUGUAAGUGAACAUAUAAAAUCCAUUGACGUUUUAUAAAAAAGAAUAAAAAUACGUACAUAAACCGAACUUUUUUUUUUAUUGUUAAUGGUCAUGUAUUUGUAAAUACAAACUAACAUACAAACAUACAUACAUACAUACAUACAAACAUACAUACAUACAUACAAACAUACAUACAUACGUACAUACAUACGUACGGAAUCAUAAAGAAACAUUGAAGUACAUAAUAUAUAUUUGAAUAUAAGGCAAAAAAUGUUUUCGAAAAAUAUGAACGGUAAUCAAUCAUCACUGGUGGUAACCCAAAUACCACGUAAAAAACAAUUUUAUAAAACGAAGAUGUGUCCUUGGUUUUUUUCUGGUAGAUGUGAUAGAGGUAUGGAUUGUUUAUUUGCUCAUUCUAAAGAAGAACUUAAUCCAAUUCCUGAUUUAUCGUUUACAAGUUUAUGUCCAUUAGCUAAAAAAUCAGGUACUUGUAAAAACGAAAAAUGCAGUUAUGCACAUUCUGUAUGUGAACUACGACCAACAGGUGAUUUAUACAAAACAGCACCAUGUACGAAAUUUUUAAGAGGGAAAUGUAAUGCUGAAUCACAUUGUAGACAUGCACAUUAUAUAGAAGAAUUAAGACCAUUACCUGGUAAUUCGACACCAUCUCAAAAUGCUAUAAAUUUAAUGUUAGCAGCACCAGUCGUUAAUUCGUUUCAGAAAAUGAAUAAAACAAAGAAUAUGAAUAAAACCAGUAGUAAUAAUAAUAAUAAUAAUAAUUAUAUAAUGAAUGGAAUUAAUAACAAUCAUGGUAGUAACACUAAUAGUAACACUAAUAGUAACACUAAUAGUAACACUAAUAGUAACACUAAUAGUAACACUAAUAAUAACACUAAUAAUAAGAAUAAUAAUAAAAAAAAAAAUGAUAAACAUUUAAAACUUUUGAAUUCUUUAGGAUGUAACAAAUCUAAUAUACAAAAAUGUGACAAUAAUAAUAAUAAAGGUUUUUCAAGUCAAAUGAUAAAAAAUUCUGGUUUAGAUAUAAUGAAUACAAAUAAUGAUAUAAAUCGAUUAAACAUAAAUAAUAAUAGCAAUAACAAUAAUAUUAAUAAUAAUAUUAAUAGUAAUAAUAAUAGUAUUAAUGGUAAUAAUAAUGGUAAUAAUAAUGGUAAUAAUAAUGGUAAUAAUAAUGGUAAUAAUAAUAAUAAUAUGAUAACAAACAUACAUGGAGAUAUUGGCAAUUCAAUUUUAAGUGGUAGUAAUAGUACGAUUGCUUCAUUAAAUUGUAAUAUGCUUACACCUGAUAGUAGUAUGAGUACAGUGUGUGUUAAUAUGAGUACAUCUGGUGGUAGUGCUGUAUGUACCAUGAAUAGUAGUAAUAUAAUUCCUUUAAGUAAUGACCAUAAUAUUUUAAAUGGGAAUCAUAAAAUAUUAAUGAAUAGUAAUUAUGAGAAUAUGUUGAAUGAAAAUAAUAAUAAGUGUACGAUGAAUAAUGAUAUAAAUGAUAAUUUGAACAAUCCUAUGGAUGGUAAUUUGGAUGAUCACAUGGAUGGUAAUAUGAACAAUAAUCUUAGUAGUAAUAUGGAUAACAGUUUAAAUAUGAAUAUAAAUAAAAAUUAUCAAAAAAGUUCAUCUUAUCCUAAUAAAAUGCAUAACUUGUUAAAAAUUAAAGAAAAUAACAAUGAACCUUUUACCCGACACCAUCAUCACCAUCAUAAUCAUUAUCAACAUCAUCACACUGCUACUCUUAAUAACAUAAAUUUUAAAAAUUAUAUAAUAAAUAAUAAUAAUAAUAUUAAUAAUAAUAUUAAUAAUAAUAUUAAUAAUAGUAUAGAAAAUGAAGAUAGUCAGGAUUUAUCAUACCCUAACACAUUCCCAAAUUCAUAUACAAACUCUUAUACAAACUCUUAUACAAACUCUUAUACAAAUAUGAGCUCCUUAGGGUUUGGAAAAAUGCAAACUUUAUGUAAUAAUAGUAAUUAUGAUUAUAUGAGUAAUAAUAUAGAAAAUGAGCUGUGUAAUUCAAGUUGUAAAUCGCUUAGUGACUUUAUUACUACAGAUGUAAAUUCCAAUUAUGGUUCGAAUCAUAAAACGAAUAUAAAUAAUUUAUUAAAUAACUCAAAUAAUAAUGAUAAUGAUGAUGAUGAUAAUAUUACUAGAAUGACACAGGAUUCUCAUUUUAAUAGAAAUAAAAAUACAAAACUAAAAGGAAAUCAAGGGUUACUUACUUUUUCUUCUUAUUCAUUAAGAGGUAUAUCAACAUCAUCACCCUUGAGGAGUAGAAGAUUAUUAAGUAGUUCACCUAAAUAUUUUGUUACAGAUACAGAAAAAAAUUUUGAAGAUGCAAUUGAACAUAUGGAAAUAACAGCACAAGAUAGUGCAUUAAAAGUUAUAGAGGAUGAUAAUGAAAAAGUUAAUAACACAGAUAUAAAUAAUUUUUUAAAAUUAUUUCAUAUGGCAAAGGGUACUAACAGUUACACGGAUGAUGAUUUUUUAUUUAACACCACUUCUAAUUGUAGUACCAAUGGUAACAGUAACUGUUACAGUAAUGAUACUAAUAAUAUGAACAGUGAUGAACAUUUACUUUAUAAGCCUUAUAAAACUAUCCCUAUGUUAGAAAAUAUUGAUAGUGAUAACUAUGACCAUAGAAGUAGUGACUACGUUAAUGGAAAUGGCAACUACAACAAUGGAAAUGUUAAUUACGACAAUAAUAACGAUGUUAAUAAUAGUAAGAGUAGUAAUAAGAACAACAACAAAAAUGACAACAAUAAACAUAAAAUGCAAGACGAUAUAGUCAUAGAAGUGGAUAAUAAUAAUAACAGUGGCAAUAGUAAUAAUAAUGGUAAUAGUAGUGGUAAUAGUAGUGGCAAUAAUAAUGGUAAUAGUAGUGGCAAUAAUAAUGGCAACAAUAAUGGCAAUAGUAGUGGUAAUAGUAGCGGUAAUGAUAAUGGUUAUAGUAGUGGUAAUGAUAAGGUGACAUCAGAAGAGCAUAUAAAAAAUUGUAAUAGCAUGAAAAUACAACCAUUAUCUUCUGUAACAAAUAUGGCAACUACUAAUGAUCAUAAUA
Piliocolobus tephrosceles (Ugandan red Colobus) is the source of this 3361-nucleotide long non-coding RNA. The record is from Ensembl. Lineage: Eukaryota; Metazoa; Chordata; Mammalia; Primates; Cercopithecidae.